UGACAACAGGUGUUAAGAGGAAGAGAGGAGCAAGCAUAUAUAUAUGGCACUCCAGGAAGAUGAAGGUGGGAUUAUAGAAGUUGCUUUGCUGUGACUAAAGAGAACUUGUAAGGAAGCCUGUGUCCAUAGAUUGUCAUGGGUAUGCAGCUGUAGUCUGGGAGGUCUGAUGUUAGGGAAAAAGAAGGAGGAAAGCAAGAUUAAAAAUCAUUCCUGGAAAUGCAAGAGAAAAUGUGCUGGAGUGGUGCUGUUAGUACCAGGGACACUGGACAAGAAAGAUAAGCAAGCCACUGCUGUCUGAUUCCUACAUAGCAGGCUAAUUCUGUGACUUUCAGGAUGAGUGAAGAGCUAUAAGAAUGGAAUCGAGACUAGGAGAGGAACAUCCAAAGGAGAGAAAAUGACUGCAGUGGGAGAGAACAAGAGCUACGAUCAAAAAGAGGAGAGACAAGCAGCACUGAGGAAGACAGAAGGGUAAGAAGAGGUAUAAUGGCUUAGGGGCAGAGGAGAACUACUGUAGUGAGUGUGUGGUGUUGAGUUCUCAACCCAGAUGAACUUUGUGAGUGAGCUAUAGAGAACUGAGAUAGACCCAAGAUAAUCCAGCAGCCAUUCUAUAAAGUUGAGAGGUGAUGUCAGAAGUGGGAUCCAAAGAAAAGCUUCCAGUGACCCCCAGG
Molecule: long non-coding RNA, 668 nt
Filed under: Homo sapiens (human)
Lineage: Eukaryota; Metazoa; Chordata; Mammalia; Primates; Hominidae
Description: long non-coding RNA NONHSAT162484.1
Source: RNAcentral